GACAUGGGGAUGUAGCUCAGAUGGUAGAGC
RNAcentral lists this small RNA (30 nucleotides) under Arabidopsis thaliana (thale cress). RNAcentral's name for it is "ATSL079100". The record is from RNAcentral. Lineage: Eukaryota; Viridiplantae; Streptophyta; Magnoliopsida; Brassicales; Brassicaceae.